ACACACUGCUAAAUGUCCAGCCCAUUCUUUCUGUGACUUCAAUAACUCUCCCUCUCUCUUUCUCCCUCUCUCUCGCUCUCUCGAGCUUUCAAUAGAAGCUCGCUGCCUUAUGAUCGAUGCCUCCAACGAGAGACAAGAGAAGGGAGAAGAGGAGAAGGCUUGGCUUCUUCUGCUUGGUGACAGUACUAUACGCCAUCUUCGUCUGCUUCCCCUGUGGCUGCCCAGCAGUCGCGACUCCAAUACUUGGUCCGAGGAUCGGCGCCGAAGGAGCACGGGAGAAGAUGACUAUGAUAGGGAGAAGACCGACGCCGCCGGAAACGACUUCCAGCGUCCAUGAAAGCAAGCGACGAGUGCCAACUUGCCCCGAUCCUCUUCACAACAAGUGACACUUGGUUCUUCUCUUUAAUUACUUUUUACUGUGAAGGACGCAACUCGGACACGACAUUACAUUCGCUUUCUUGCAUUUAUGAUAUCGGUGCUUGACCGUACUCGGACUCGUCACAUGAUCACAAGCAUAGAGCACCACCAUAUGUUCAUAUAUACCUACAGCAAUUAGCUGCAAGCGCAGAGCAGAGCGUCGUCCCAAGUUUCAAGGGGGGGGAGGGAAAGCCCUAUCUAAGGUUCAUGGCACUGUUUGAAAGGUAGGAAGGUUCUUCGCGGAAGGUAUCUACUCACUGUCACAUGAUGACUAAAAGGGAGCAAGUUGGUCCUCCUCCUUGUCGCCACUUCGCCUCCGAUACCUUUCAAGACUACUACAAGAUUAGGUUAUCUUUAAGCUCUUCGCCAUGUGAAAACGUAAUGUGAUUUUGUUAUUCCUAAGUGGUCUUGGGCUAAUUCUUGGGCUGCGUUCGAGCCCAUCUCUACUUUAGGGCCGAGUUGUCGGCGAGAGUUGCAUAAAAACCCUAUCGCCGCCUCUCCCUUCCUACCGUCUCCAUUGUUUCGCUCUACGAGGAGAAGCGGCGCGGCGGCUGAGUAAAACGCAUUCUCGCUUCUACUACCUAUUUUAUGCGAUGCCCGAAUCGGGGAAGGAUUCGCGCCCAGAGAUGGUUGUCAGCGGGCAAUUACAUCUUGCACACUUACUGACAUGACGAGAAUUCAAGCAGCAGUCACUCACUUCUCCCAAUUGACAACGCCGUGAAGUGCUGCGCUGUUUGAAGAGGGGAAUGUUGCGGAUGCAGAUGGAAUCAGCUUCAUCGCAUCCAAGAUAGAGAGGAAACCGUGGUAAUCGCUUCGGAGAAAUCGUAUACCAGUUUGCAAAUCAUAUAUCGUGUCCAUAACGAGAUCUGCCGAUCGAUCAGCUAAACGAAUCGAAGAUAUCAAAGUUCUACCUUGCGCAGCCAAAGUGCCACCAUCUAAGCAGGAGAAAAUCCCCAAAGUCUGAUUGUGCCAUCCUUGUAUCCAGAAUACAGCGUGAGGCCAUUAGCGCUCCAGGUUAAGCUGGUGCAGAAGGGUCUCUGCCAGCAUCGCGCCAACAAAAAGAAAGCCAUUAGAUGCAGUAACAGUGAACACUUGUAUGUAGAUCAAGAUGAAUUACCAUCACUGGAUUUUUAAUGUUCAGAUGGUCAAUUCUGCAAUCUAAUUUAUAUUUUCUUGAUCUA
Long non-coding RNA from Musa acuminata AAA Group (dessert banana), 1598 nucleotides. RefSeq lists it as uncharacterized. The transcript has 2 exons. NCBI's taxonomy places the organism in Eukaryota, Viridiplantae, Streptophyta, Magnoliopsida, Zingiberales, Musaceae. The record is from RefSeq and is a predicted model, not a curated record.